RNAcentral lists this long non-coding RNA (845 nucleotides) under Olea europaea subsp. europaea. The record is from RNAcentral. Lineage: Eukaryota; Viridiplantae; Streptophyta; Magnoliopsida; Lamiales; Oleaceae.
AGACAUAACUCGAAUUUUCGAUAAAUUGAGAAGAUACAGAUGAAUCUUGAAAUCUUAAAUCUCUUCAAUAGUUUCUUGAUAAAUAUCCACUUGUGUCCUCUCCUCUUUGCCCAAAAUCAAAUUUGAAUCUCCACUUGAUUGAGCUCUUGCAAGACCUCUUCAAUUCUCUCACAAAAACUAUGAAUUUUCCUCAUUUGAUGAUAAUAAUUGAUAAGUAUUGAAAAAUGAGAUGUAUAUGAGAGAUAUUUGAGAGGCCCUUUAUAUGCAUUCUGCUGUUAAAUAUUUGCAGGAGUCGAAAAUUGGUUGAAAAUCACGUCCAAAUUGGUUUCCAAAAGAGUUCCAAUCAAAUAAGAAAAGUUACCUUUGCGCGCGAAUUUUAUCUCUACACAACAGUCAGUAUUUUGGUCAUAACUUUCUCUCCUGAUAUUCAAUUGAAACGAUUCAAAGUGUGUUGUUAACAUGACUUGAAGGGCUACAAUUUUGAUAGAAAUGAAAUUUUUCCAAUUCGAACAUUUAUUAUGCCAAAAAUCGGUCUUAAGUUUCAAUUAAGAAACAAACAAAUAUCUUGUAUGAUUGAAAAUCGAUUUAUGAUAAUAUUCUGUUCAUAUUCCACUCCUUUUUAACUUCUAAUUGACUCCUAGCAAUCUUCAAAGUAUUGUCUUGUGGUCCAAAUCAACUAUUGGAUAUUUACAAUUUGGUCUUCAAAUUUUGUACUUCGCUAUUUUUCGUCUUUUUCGCUUCUUUCUUUCAAUUCAACUUCCAACCAUCAAACAUUAUCUAAUAAAUGAAAUAUACAAUAAAUUAUGCUAUAAUUGCUUAAAGAACUAUUGAAUGUCGAUAUUUUU